Molecule: long non-coding RNA, 1811 nt
Filed under: Ananas comosus (pineapple)
Lineage: Eukaryota; Viridiplantae; Streptophyta; Magnoliopsida; Poales; Bromeliaceae
Description: long non-coding RNA (ACOM_LNC031734)
Source: RNAcentral
AAAAUAUCAAAAAAUAAUAUAUAAAUAUAUAUAUAAAGAGAGAGAGAGAGAGAGAGAGUAGAGCUACUAUACUAUCGGAAGUACAGAGAAUCUGAUGUUUCUGACUAUUUGAUCCUUAAGAUCAACCCUUUUGAUUAUUUCUAAUCUUUGGAUUAAUACUACUAUCAUGUGGGGAUCACUCAACCCUAAGUGUACUACUCAACCUAGGAGGACCACAAUCAUUCCAACUGUACAAUUUUUGAUCCAAUGGUCAAAAAGUCAGAAGCAUACAUAUAUGUAUGCUUUCAAUAGUAUAAUAGUUCUACACACACAUACAUAUAUGUAUGCUAGUAUUACUAUACUCUUAUAAGUAUAAAUUCUUUUGUACUUAUAAGUUUUUGGUCGUUGAUGAAGGGAUGUGCGGUUAGGAUGAUAGUGGUUCCCAGUUAGAAUAACAGUGGUCCCUUGGCAUUGAGCAAGUGGUUGGUUGAAUAGAUGAUCUAAUGGGUGGAAAUAGUCAACGGGGUGAUCUAACGGCUGAAAAUUUAUGAGUACAAAGGGUCUAUAUUCAUAAAAAUAUAAUAUCCGGACUAUAUAUAUAUACUAUAUAUGAGUAGGGCUACUAUACUCUUAUAAGUAUUGGGCCAUUUGUGCUCAUAAGUUAAUUUCAAUGAUGGAGCUUCUGAAUCAACGAUCCACUCCAUUAAAUAUAAUCUAGAGUAUUUGAAACUUCUAAAAAAUAAAUUUCGUAAUUUUUCGAAAUCAUAAUAAAGUCCAUCAAACGGGUAUAAAAUGAACAGUCAAAAUCGAAUGACGUCCUAAAAAUAGAUGAUCGGAUCCUUCAAUUUAAGAUCGGAGUAGGUAGUGAAUAAAAUUUUCUAUCAAAAAUUCAAUCUAUUCCAAUUCUUUUACACCGUUAAACUAGCAAAUAUUCCAUACCGGCCGUUAAAAAUUGUCAAUUUUUUGAGCUUUUGAUCGUAAGGUAAAUAAUAUAGAAAAAUUACGAAAUUUGAUUUCUAAAAGUUCUAAAUGUUCUAGAUAAUAUUUAACGGUAUGGAUCGUCGAUUCGAAAGCUCUAUCAUCGAAAACGACUUAUGAGUAUGAGGACCUCUAUACUCACAAGAGUAUAGUAGCCCUACUAUAUAUAUAUAAAGAGAGAGUGAGAGAGAGAAUACUGCUACUAUGCUUCUGGAAGCACAGAGUCUUCUGUGCUUCCAGGUCGUUUUCCAUGUUGCGACUUUCGAAUCGUCAAUCGACUCCAUUAAACUUGAUCAAGAGUAUUUGAAGUACCUAGAAAAUAAAUUAUGUGAUUUUUCGAUAUUAUUUGCCUAGUGAACGAAGAGGCUCAAAAUCAACAAUUUUAAUGGUAGUAGUGAGCCGUUUGCAAGUUUAACGGUGUAGAAAUAUCCAAAUCACGUGAAAUUUUGAUAGAAAAUUCUUUAUACUAUAUAAAACAAGAAUUUUCUAUCAAAAAUUUAACCUAUUCCGAUCGUUCGAUUAGUAGUUUAACGGUGCAAAAGAAUCCGAAUAGCUUGAAAUUUUGAUAGAAAAUUCUAUUCACUACCUAGAUAAAGAUUAAUAACUCCGAUUUUAAAUUGAAAGAUCCGAUCAUCCAUUUUUGAGACAUCGUUCAAUUUUGACCGUUCAUUUUAUGCCCGUUUGAUGGACUUUAUUAUGAUUUCGAAAAAUUACGAAAUUUAUUUUCUAGAAAUUUUAAAUAUUCUAGAUCAUAUUUAACGGAGUGGAUCGUCGAUUCGGAAGCUCCAUCAUCGAAAACAACUUAUGAGUACGAAGGGCCCAAUAUUCAUAAUAGUAUAGUAGCCCUUACAUAU